RNAcentral lists this ribosomal RNA (253 nucleotides) under uncultured bacterium. RNAcentral describes it as "partial 16S ribosomal RNA". It matches the Rfam family "Bacterial small subunit ribosomal RNA", at positions 524 to 776 of the family's 1533-position model. The record is from RNAcentral.
UACGUAGGUGGCAAGCGUUGUCCGGAUUUACUGGGUGUAAAGGGCGUGCAGCCGGAGAGACAAGUCAGAUGUGAAAUCCACGGGCUCAACUCGUGAACUACAUUUGAAACUGUUUCCCUUGAGUGUCGGAGAGGUAAUCGGAAUUCCUUGUGUAGCGGUGAAAUGCGUAGAUAUAAGGAAGAACACCAGUGGCGAAGGCGGAUUACUGGACGAUAACUGACGGUGAGGCGCGAAAGCGUGGGGAGCAAACAGG